CGGCUCCCUCCGGGGCGAGCGGGAGCGGCAGGCCACCGCCUCGGGCUCGCAGCCCGGCAGCUCCGGGCAGGUGGAGGAGAUCAACACCAAAGAGGUGGCUCAGCGGAUCACGGCCGAGCUGAAGCGCUACAGCAUCCCGCAGGCGAUCUUUGCGCAGAGGAUCUUGUGCCGCUCUCAAGGCACCCUGUCGGACCUGCUGCGGAACCCCAAGCCCUGGAGUAAGCUCAAGUCGGGCCGGGAGACUUUCCGGAGGAUGUGGAAAUGGUUGCAGGAGCCGGAAUUUCAGAGGAUGUCCGCGCUCAGGCUCGCAGCUUGCAAACGCAAAGAGCAAGAGCAGCAGAAAGACAGGAGCCUGCAGCCCAAGAAGCAGCGGCUGGUCUUCACGGACCUCCAGCGCCGCACCCUGAUUGCCAUCUUCAAGGAGAACAAGCGCCCAUCCAAAGAAAUGCAGAUGACCAUCUCACAGCAACUCGGCUUGGAGCUCAACACCGUCAGCAACUUCUUCAUGAAUGCCCGCCGGCGGUGUAUGAACCGCUGGCAGGAGGAGCCAGGCACCAACCCUGGAGUCCCUUCUUCUUCUACAAGCACUUUCUCCAAAGCAUGAUGUCCCCCAGCCCUCCCUGCCCUUUCCCAGACAUCCUCCUCAUGACAAAGCCAACCCCAAACUUACACGCAUACCCCCAGCGGCUGAGCUGACUGGGGUGGGUACUCUUGGGCACUGCAAGUCCGUUGGCCUCCCAAACCCUCUGUCACGUCCUGCUGCUGUAUCCUCCAAGCUCAUGGAGGAGGGGAAGGGUUUGCAACUGGUUCAGUUUCUCUCCAGCAGGAAGGCUGGGAGGAAACCCCCAGUGGAGUGAAAGAUGACAUGGAGGGAGAGGGCAAGGUGCUGUUUUUGAAGCAUCCUUGCCACAAAACCUUGUCUUCACCCACCCACCAGGGUCCAACCCUCGAGGAGAGGGGCACCUCAUCCCCUCCAGUCCUCCCAACCUCAAGGUGCCCACCAGGGCCACUGUGGUGGAGGUGGGUGAGAUACAAGAGGUGGAGCCAUGGGGCCAGGCAGCAGCACAACCCCAACAAACUGGGGCCAAAACCCAUAUGAUUUAAGGAGAGACAAGCAGGGAAAACUCUCCAUGGCUGCAGUCUCUGGUUCUUGAAGCUUUCUACAAGCUAAGGUGCAGCAGGGUGUCCCAAAGCAGCCAGGCCCUCUCUCCCACUCGAAGCUUUGGGAAACCUGCUCAAAGGCUUCCCUGCACUCCCGGGUGCUUCGGUCUCCUCCACAGUCACCUUCCUCUCACCCACCCUGCAACGCCCCCAAGAGCACCCACCACCUGCUGGCCCCGAGUCCCCAUGCACAUGCACACCCCAACCUAUGAGAGCACCUGUCCCCUGGGUCCCUCCCAGACAAACUCCAUGGCAAAGGAGAUGGCGGAGGCACCGCGUUGCUGUGGCCACCCGCCACCGCCGCUGCACACCCAAGCUUCUCUGAGUGCCACACUGCAGCCCAGCAGCCAGAGGCAGGGGACUGCAGCUUGCACUGUGUUGCCUAGAGCCCAAGCAGGUCAAGAAGCACAUUUUAGGUACAGAAAUCGGGUAUUUAAAUAGGAAUUGUUUGAAAGGAGAUGGGAGGAGAGACUUCGAGUGAAGGAUCUGAUCUUUCCUGGUGACUGGCUCAGUGGGGGCCAGGCUGGCUCCACCAUAUUCGCCGCUUGGUUUCUGGUUCACUUUUCAGUUGAGGAAUGAACUCAGACACAGCACUGUUUUGUUGGCUUUGUGUCUUGCCCCAUCUGCCCCUCGACACACACACUGUUGUCCCCUGCCCUUUGUCCUCAUCUCUGCUACCAAAGAAAUUGAAAAACCAAAAACCAAACAACAAAAAUCCCUCCGGGGAAGCAAUGUUGGUGCACGGUGGAAGAAGCAAAUCUCACGGAUCUGGUUGCAAAAUCAAGCCCUGUGUGUGAGAAAGGGAAAAAUAAACCAAAAAGGAAUAAUAAUAUAAAGGAGAAA
Molecule: long non-coding RNA, 2004 nt
Organism: Struthio camelus australis
Lineage: Eukaryota; Metazoa; Chordata; Aves; Struthioniformes; Struthionidae
Source: Ensembl